GACGAGGGAUCCUAGCGUUGUUCGGAAUCAUUGGGCGUAAAGCGGGUGUAGGCGGUCUUAUAAGUCAGGUGUGAAAUCCCAGGGCUCAACCCUGGAAGUGCACUUGAUACUGUAAGACUUGAGUGUGGUAGAGGCUACUAGAAUUCCUGGUGUAGUGGUAAAAUACGUAGAUAUCAGGAGGAAUACCGGAGGCGAAGGCGGGUAGCUGGGCUAACACUGACGCUGAGACCCGAAAGCGUGGGGAUCAAACAGG
RNAcentral lists this ribosomal RNA (253 nucleotides) under uncultured bacterium. Its description in RNAcentral is "partial 16S ribosomal RNA". It matches the Rfam family "Bacterial small subunit ribosomal RNA", at positions 524 to 776 of the family's 1533-position model. The record is from RNAcentral.